Molecule: unclassified non-coding RNA, 177 nt
Filed under: uncultured Chaetothyriales
Lineage: Eukaryota; Fungi; Ascomycota; Eurotiomycetes; Chaetothyriales
Description: sequence contains ITS2
Source: RNAcentral
UCACACUAUCAAGCUUGGCUUGUUGUUGGGCCCUUUGUCACCUGGUGACAGGUCCAAAAGACAAUAACCGGUGUCAUACGGACUCUAUAUGCAACGAGCUUAUCACAGCACGCAUCUGGCAGUCGUGUGGUCCGGUUUUCCCUUUGAUAUUUAUCAAUUGACAAAUAUAUUUCUCAA